Molecule: ribosomal RNA, 253 nt
Filed under: uncultured bacterium
Lineage: Bacteria
Description: partial 16S ribosomal RNA
Rfam family: Bacterial small subunit ribosomal RNA
Source: RNAcentral
UACGUAGGUGGCAAGCGUUGUCCGGAUUUACUGGGCGUAAAGAGCGCGCAGGCGGUUGUGCAAGUCGCGUGUGAAAGCCCCCGGCUCAACUGGGGAGGGUCACGCGAUACUGCUCGACUCGAAGGCAGGAGAGGGAAGUGGAAUUCCCGGUGUAGUGGUGAAAUGCGUAGAUAUCGGGAGGAACACCAGUGGCGAAGGCGACUUCCUGGCCUGUUCUUGACGCUGAGGCGCGAAAGCUAGGGUAGCAAACGGG